RNAcentral lists this unclassified non-coding RNA (731 nucleotides) under Hevea brasiliensis (rubber tree). Lineage: Eukaryota; Viridiplantae; Streptophyta; Magnoliopsida; Malpighiales; Euphorbiaceae. The record is from RNAcentral.
GUGUGUGCUAAACUUUUAACAGUUUCAUUGUUGUUCUUGUUCUUGUGUUUUGUUCCUUCUCUUCUGAAAUUUUGCUCUAUUCUUUACUUUUCAAUUUAUUUUUCUAAGAGCAUUAUUUAAUCAAGUAUGCCAAUCCUGUACAUGCAUAAACCAUUAGAAUGUGUUUGUCAUUCAUGUGUGCUCAAUGGUACUUUCAUUUUGAUGGGUUCCUAAGUUUUGUUCUUCACUGCUUGAAAGAUAUUGUUAAUUACUUGCAGAUCAAAUAUGCUGCUUAAACUCUGAACUAUUGCUACUGUAUGUGAUAGAAAAUGUUAUCUAAUUGUUAACAUUGUUUCUGUGCUGGCUUUAACAAAACUAAUUUUGGUCUGCCGCCCUAAGUAUAAUCUUUCCGUUACAUUUUUCUCUGUCUUCUACCAUGCCAUAUAUCAACUAGAGGAUAUAAUCUGCAGUGGCUAAAUUAGCCUUAUUAACAGUUUAUCCUUUAGGAAAAUUUCAAACAUUCACUGUGGAUGUUAGGCAUCUGGUGCAAACAUGUCAAAGCAAAAAAAGCUUUUGCACCCUUCUCUUUCUCUUUUAUAUUUGUAUCAUGUCAAGUUUAGAACACAUUUCACGCAAGUCACGAGGGCCUUUUUGUUCAAGUUUGAGGUUCCCAUCACUCAGCUGAUGCACAUGCAUCCCCCCACUUUUAGUGGGUUAAGAUCAGCAUACUGCCUGCAAAUGAAAGAAAAUGU